GCUUACGGCCCCACCGCCUGGUUCAUGCCCGAUCUCGUUUGAUCUCGGAAGCUAAGGUAGGUUGGGCCUGGUUUAGUACUUGGAUGGGAGACCGCCUGGGAAUACCAGGUGCUGUAAGCU
Molecule: ribosomal RNA, 120 nt
Filed under: Scophthalmus maximus (turbot)
Lineage: Eukaryota; Metazoa; Chordata; Actinopteri; Pleuronectiformes; Scophthalmidae
Source: RNAcentral